RNAcentral lists this ribosomal RNA (253 nucleotides) under uncultured bacterium. RNAcentral's name for it is "partial 16S ribosomal RNA". It matches the Rfam family "Bacterial small subunit ribosomal RNA", at positions 524 to 776 of the family's 1533-position model. The record is from RNAcentral.
UACAGGGGGGGCAAACGUUGCUCGGAAUUAUUGGGCGUAAAGCGCGCGUAGGCGGCUACUUAAGUCGGAUGUGAAAGCCCUUGGCUCAACUGAGGAAGUGCACCCGAAACUGAGUAGCUGGAGUACGAAAGAGGGUCGCGGAAUUCCCGGUGUAGAGGUGAAAUUCGUAGAUAUCGGGAGGAACACCGGUGGCGAAGGCGGCGACCUGGGUCGAUACUGACGCUGAGGCGCGAAAGCGUGGGGAGCGAACAGG